RNAcentral lists this ribosomal RNA (752 nucleotides) under uncultured euryarchaeote. RNAcentral describes it as "bacterial SSU rRNA". It matches the Rfam family "Archaeal small subunit ribosomal RNA", at positions 528 to 1278 of the family's 1478-position model. Lineage: Archaea; Methanobacteriati; Methanobacteriota. The record is from RNAcentral.
GCCGUACGGGUCCGUCGGGAAAUCCGCCCGCUCAACGGGCGGACGUCCGGCGGAAACCAUACGGCUUGGGACCAGAGGACCCGAGGGGUACGUCGGGGGUAGGAGUGAAAUCCCGAGAUCCUCGACGGACCGACGGUGGCGAAAGCGCCUCGGGAAGAUGGAUCCGACGGUCAGGGACGACAGCUUGGGUCUCGAACCGGAUUAGAUACCCGGGUAGUCCAAGCUGUAAACGAUGCUCGCUAGGUGUGGCGUACGCUACGAGCCUGCGCUGUGCCAAAGGGAAGCCACGAAGCGAGCCGCCUGGGAAGUACGUCUGCAAGGAUGAACCUUAAAGGAAUUGUCGGGGGAGCACUACAAUGGGAGGAGCCUGCGGUUUAAUUGGUACUCAACGCCGGACAUCUCACCGGUUCCGACUCUGGGAGUGAAGGUCAGCUUGACGAGCUUACUAGACCCAGAGAGAGGUGGUGCAUGGCAUCCGUCAGCUCGUACCGUGAGGCGUCCUGUUAAGUUAGGCAACGGGCGAGACCCGUGUCCGUAGUUGCCAGCAGCACGUUCAGUGGCUGGGUACACUACGGAGACUGCCUCCGCUAAGGAGGAGGAAGGAGCGGGCAACGGUAGGUCAGUAUGCCCCGAAUGAACCGGGCAACACGCGGGCUACAAUGGCACGGACAGCGGGAUGCAGCCCCGAGAGGGGUAGCUAAUCCCACAAACCGUGUCUCAGUUCGGAUUGAGGACUGAAACCCGUCCUCAUG